GACGAACGCUGGCGGCGCGCCUAACACAUGCAAGUCGAACGAGCGAGAGAGAGCUUGCUUUCUCGAGCGAGUGGCGAACGGGUGAGUAACGCGUGAGGAACCUGCCUCAAAGAGGGGGACAACAGUUGGAAACGACUGCUAAUACCGCAUAAGCCCACGACCCGGCAUCGGGGAGAGGGAAAAGGAGCAAUCCGCUUUGAGAUGGCCUCGCGUCCGAUUAGCUAGUUGGUGAGGUAACGGCCCACCAAGGCGACGAUCGGUAGCCGGACUGAGAGGUUGAACGGCCACAUUGGGACUGAGACACGGCCCAGACUCCUACGGGAGGCAGCAGUGGGGAAUAUUGCACAAUGGGGGAAACCCUGAUGCAGCGACGCCGCGUGGAGGAAGAAGGUCUUCGGAUUGUAAACUCCUGUUGUUGAGGAAGAUAAUGACGGUACUCAACAAGGAAGUGACGGCUAACUACGUG
This 466-nucleotide ribosomal RNA is filed under the name uncultured bacterium. RNAcentral's name for it is "partial 16S ribosomal RNA". It matches the Rfam family "Bacterial small subunit ribosomal RNA", at positions 28 to 507 of the family's 1533-position model. The record is from RNAcentral.